Molecule: long non-coding RNA, 3145 nt
Filed under: Salmo salar (Atlantic salmon)
Lineage: Eukaryota; Metazoa; Chordata; Actinopteri; Salmoniformes; Salmonidae
Description: lncRNA (ENSSSAG00000119604.1)
Source: RNAcentral
ACGCCCUCUAUGUUUAAUGAAUACAAGUUCUUGAUUUUAGCACUUGGAAUCAGUUGGUAUUGACAGUACUGCAUGGUGGAUAAGAAACUAACCAAUGGUUACACAGUUUCAGAAAAGUAUAUCUUAUAUAUAGAUAUGUAUAUAUAUAUAUAUAUAAGAGAGAGAGAGAGAGAUGUAUAUUCAUUUAUAGGCUAAGCUUUAAAAUAGCACAGUAAACACUUUGCACACAUGAUAUAAACCACAACAUUUCUCUGGUUUGUUAAGUUCCUCUCAGACCAAUGUUAUGGAGGGAGGUCGCCCAAAGAAGCAUGAACUCAACUAGCCGUGUUGUAGGCAAUUUUGUUGUAGUUGUUCUUUACUGUAAAGUCAGAAUACUGGAGAUUCAGAACACUUGGACCGCACAGAGAAAACAACAGGAAAAAAACAAGAGAAGUUAUAAAAACAGUCAAGUAGAGAUAUUGAAUUUGUAUAAUAGUUCACAUCAUUUCUGGGGGUUUUCUCUCUCUCUCUCUCUCUCUCUCUCUCUCACUCUGACUCUCUCACGCACCAUCUCUUUCCCUCCAUUUCUCUCUCCCCCUCCUCUCAUCCUUCAUUCCUGUACAGUUGGUGUAGUGGUGACAGUAGAAACAGCUAAAGGGCUCAUAGUGAUGGUUGGUUGAAGUUUGUACAGAAACGUUUCUUUUUGUGUAAACAGGCACACACAGAUGGACUAGACGGGGGGGGGUGUACCCCAUGGCCACGACCCCCCUAGUCACCGACAACAAAAUGUCUGUUUGUGUUGUUCAUCAGUAUUUCUUGGAUUCCUCUUUGUCUAUUGUCUAUUUUCGGAACCCUUGGUUUAUAAGUCCAGUUGAUACACCCUCCCUGCAUCCCUUUCUUAAACACAGUGGUUUUCUUCCAUCGUUCGUCCUUUGGCUUUGGGCCCGGGGUCUCAGGCCUGCUGAGAUGAAAUUAAGGCCUACUAUGGUCCUAGAAGUUCCUUCUACACCUUGGUUCUACAGUUCCAGUUCUAGAGUUCUUCUGUUCUACAGUUCCAGUUCUAGACUUCUUCUGUUUUACAGUUCCAGUUCUAGAGUUCUUCUGUUCUACAGUUCCAGUUCUAGAGUUCUUCUGUUCUACAGUUCCAGUUCUACAGUUCUUCUGUUCUACAGUUCCAGUUCUAGACUUCUUCUGUUUUACAGUUCCAGUUCUAGAGUUCUUCUGUUCUACAGUUCCAGUUCUACAGUUCUUCUGUUCUACAGUUCCAGUUCUAGAGCUCUUCUGUUCUACAGUUCCAGUUCUAGAGUUCUUCUGUUUUACAGUUCCAGUUCUAGAGCUCUUCUGUUCUACAGUUCCAGUUCUAGAGUUCUUCUGUUUUACAGUUCCAGUUCUAGAGCUCUUCUGUUUUACAGUUCCAGUUCUAGAGUUCUUCUGUUUUACAUUUGCAAGUCUAGAUUUCUUUCUCCAGCACUUUGUCCUGCUGUCUCCCGUGGCGAUGGAGAUGAAAGGUUCCAUUCUAGCUGGCCACUCCCAGAUAAUGAAGUUUCAAAACAAGCCCAUGGUCUGGUUGUCAUAGAUUUGUUUGUGUUUGGUUGUUUUCUCUCUCUCUCUUUCUCUCUCUCUUUCUCUAACGUUGCCGCCAAUGUUGGCCGGUUCUCUAUUGUGCAAAUUCACGCUGUCUCUGGUAGGUCCACUCGGAACGAGCUAGCAAAUCCUUUUGUGGGCUGCAAGGCAAGAGAAAACACACUUGUUAGACAAAUGGUGUCUAUCCCUCUCUCUUGCUCUUUUAUUCUGUACAUUUUAAAAUAAUCAUCAUGGCCAUUAGCACAAGGGUUGUGUCCCAAAUGACAACCUAUACCCUAAGUAGUGCACAACUUUUGACCAGGGCCUUAUGUGGCCACUAUAGGGACUAGGGUGCCAUUUGGGAUGCACUCCUGGUGUUUUACCUGUCCUUAUAUGGUCUGUCCAGAAAACCUCCUGGCCCUAAUUAUAAACUACAACAAGACUAUAAUAACUGGUUAUAAACUACGACCAGACUAUAAUAACUGGUUAUAAACUACAACCAGACUAUAAUAACUGGUUAUAAACUACAACCAGAAUAUAAUAACUGUUAUAAACUACAACCGGACUAUAAUAACUGGUUAUAAACUACAACCGGACUAUAAUAACUGGUUAUAAACUACAACCAGACUAUAAUAACUGUUAUAAACUACAACUAGACUAUAACAACUGGUUAUAAACUACAACCAGACUAUAAUAACUGGUUAUAAAAUACAACCGGACUAUAAUAACUGGUUAUAAACUACAACCGGACUAUAAUAACUGGUUAUAAACUACAACUAGACUAUAACAACUGGUUAUAAACUACAACCAGACUAUAAUAACUAGUUACAAACUACAACCAGACUAUAACAACUGGUUAUAAACUACAACCAGACCAUAACAACUGGUUAUAAACUACAACCAGACCAUAACAACUGGUUAUAAACUACAGGUUAUGUCAGAAUUUGGCUAAAGCAGAGACACUAUAGUUGAUGUUAAAGGGGCAAUCUGGGGUUCAAACACCAACAUUUUUUGGUAAACAGUUGAGGGAUGGUUGAACUACAGUUGAGGGAUGGUUGAACUACAGUUGAGGGAUGGUUGAACUACAGUUGAGGGAUGGUUGAACUACAGUUGAGGGAUGGUUGAACUAUAGUUGAGGGAUGGUUUAACUACAGUUGUGGGAUGGUUGAACUACAGUUGGACUAAAGUCAUGGGGCAUUUCUAAGAUACAGUCUUCAAUAAUCAAUGGCUAUAGUCCGAUAUCUUUCAUUGACACGUCCAAAAUGUGAUGUUGGUACCAAUCCCAGAUUGCUCAGAUAUGAAGCAGACAGAAGGGAAUGAAGCUGUUCUUGUAAUUAUCUAUGCUCCGUAGCACAGCACCAAAUGACAAGGCACAACACACACACACACACAUAUUUUAUGUUCAUCUAUACUUGUGGGGACCUAUAACUAUUUUCCAUUCAAAAUCCUAUUUCCCCUAACCCCUAAACCUAACCAUUAACCUUAACCCUAACCCUAACCCCUAACCCUAACCUGUAACCCUAACCCUAACCAUUAACCUUAACCCUAACCCCUAACCCUAACCUGUAACCCUAACCCCUAACCCUAACCAUUAACCUUAAAC